CCGCAUACGAUCUAAACUCGGCAUCGAGGAUAGAUGAAAGGUGGCCUCUACAUGUAAGCUAUCACUGAAGAGGGGAUUGCGUCUGAUUAGCUAGUUGGAGGGGUAACGGUCCACCAAGGCGAUGAUCAGUAGCCGGUCUGAGAGGAUGAACGGCCACAUUGGGACUGAGACACGGCCCAGACUCCUACGGGAGGCAGCAGUGGGGAAUCUUCCGCAAUGGACGAAAGUCUGACGGAGCAACGCCGCGUGAGUGAUGACGGCCUUCGGGUUGUAAAGCUCUGUUAAUCGGGACGAAAGGCCUUCUUGCGAAUAGUGAGAAGGAUUGACGGUACCGG
RNAcentral lists this ribosomal RNA (335 nucleotides) under Veillonella sp. oral taxon D93. Its description in RNAcentral is "bacterial SSU rRNA". It matches the Rfam family "Bacterial small subunit ribosomal RNA", at positions 169 to 481 of the family's 1533-position model. Lineage: Bacteria; Bacillati; Bacillota; Negativicutes; Veillonellales; Veillonellaceae. The record is from RNAcentral.